CGGAUCGCAGGCUGCAACCCGCCUGCGUGAAGUUGGAAUUGCUAGUAAUCGCGGAUCAGCAUGCCGCGGUGAAUACGUUCCCGGGCCUUGUACACACCGCCCGUCACACCAUGGGAGCCGGUAAUACCCGAAGUCAGUAGCCUAACCGCAAGGGGGGCGCUGCCGAAGGUAGGAUUGGCGACUGGGGUGAAGUCGUAACAAGGUACC
Molecule: ribosomal RNA, 207 nt
Filed under: uncultured bacterium
Lineage: Bacteria
Description: partial 16S ribosomal RNA
Rfam family: Bacterial small subunit ribosomal RNA
Source: RNAcentral